This 484-nucleotide ribosomal RNA is filed under the name uncultured bacterium. RNAcentral describes it as "partial 16S ribosomal RNA". It matches the Rfam family "Bacterial small subunit ribosomal RNA", at positions 28 to 507 of the family's 1533-position model. The record is from RNAcentral.
AUUGAACGCUGGCGGCAUGCUUUACACAUGCAAGUCGAACGGCAGCGCGGGCUUCGGCCUGGCGGCGAGUGGCGAACGGGUGAGUAAUGCAUCGGAACGUGCCCAGUAGUGGGGGAUAGCCCGGCGAAAGCCGGAUUAAUACCGCAUACGACCUGAGGGUGAAAGCGGGGGACCGAAAGGCCUCGCGCUAUUGGAGCGGCCGAUGUCGGAUUAGCUAGUUGGUGGGGUAAAGGCUUACCAAGGCGACGAUCCGUAGCUGGUCUGAGAGGACGACCAGCCACACUGGGACUGAGACACGGCCCAGACUCCUACGGGAGGCAGCAGUGGGGAAUUUUGGACAAUGGGGGCAACCCUGAUCCAGCCAUGCCGCGUGCGGGAAGAAGGCCUUCGGGUUGUAAACCGCUUUUGUUCGGGAAGAAAUCCUCUGGGCUAAUACCCCGGGGGUAUGACGGUACCGGAAGAAUAAGCACCGGCUAACUACGUG